UACGGAGGGUGCAAGCGUUAUCCGGAUUCACUGGGUUUAAAGCGCGUGUAGGCGGCUAUGUAAGUCGGGCGUGAAAUCCCACGGCUCAACCGUGGAAGUGCACCCGAAACUGCGUAGCUAGAGUCCUGGAGAGGAAGGUGGAAUGCUUGGUGUAGAGGUGAAAUUCGUAGAUAUCAAGCGGAACACCGGUGGCGAAGGCGGCCUUCUGGACAGUGACUGACGCUGAGACGCGAAAGCGUGGGGAGCAAACAGG
Molecule: ribosomal RNA, 253 nt
Filed under: uncultured bacterium
Lineage: Bacteria
Description: partial 16S ribosomal RNA
Rfam family: Bacterial small subunit ribosomal RNA
Source: RNAcentral